GGGGGCGAACUGGAUUCGACGGGGGUAUGGAAGCUUAAGUUGCGUGUCGGGGACCCUGCAACCUCGCAAAAAAGCAGGAAAAACACAAAAGCCGACUCUAAUUACGAGUACGCACUGGCCGCUUAAGGCGGUCACAUCUGACCUGGUAGGUCUGUGGACCGGGAUUAGGUGAAAAUUUAGCAGGCUAGCUUUCUUUGGGUGCUUGUACCUUUGGGAGCAAAAAUUCUACAAACUAGCCUGAUCUGACCCUGCCUGGGUGAGACAGAUCAGGCGAAAAAUAAAAACUCAGGCUACGCACGUAGAUGCUUGAGUGGAAUGCUUUCGGACGCGGGUUCGAUUCCCGCCGCCUCCACCA
This 355-nucleotide transfer-messenger RNA is filed under the name Deltaproteobacteria bacterium. It matches the Rfam family "transfer-messenger RNA". Rfam says of the family: Bacterial tmRNA, also known as 10Sa RNA or SsrA, is named for its dual tRNA and mRNA-like properties. Its role is to liberate the mRNA from a stalled ribosome. RNAcentral also lists the same sequence under 2 other names. The record is from RNAcentral. Lineage: Bacteria; Pseudomonadati; Myxococcota; Myxococcia.